CCGGUCUGAACUCAGAUCAAGUAGGAAUUUAAAAGUUGAACAAACUUCUUUUUUUAACAUCUUCAUUAAAAAAGUAUCCUAAUCCAACAUCGAGGUCGCAAACUAUUUUGUCUAUAUGUUCUAUCAAAAAUUAUUACGCUGUUAUCCCUAGAGUAUUUUUAUCAAAUUAUCAUUAAUAAUGGAUCAUUUUAUUAAAUAAAAAGUUUAUAAUCUUUUUUAGUUGCCCCAACUAAAAAAUAAUAAUUUUAAUAUUAAAAUUAUUAUUUUUAAAAUUCUUAGGGUCUUCUUGUCCUUAAUUUAAAUAAUUGUUUCUUCACAAAUUAAAAUAAAUUUAAUUUUUAAGUUUAAAAUAGUUUUUCCCUGAAAUUCCAUUCUCUUAGCAUUCAAUUAAAAUCUUAUUACAAUACCUUUGUAUAGUCAAAAUACCACAGCAAUUUAAAAAAUCAUUGAGCAG
Molecule: ribosomal RNA, 454 nt
Filed under: Dermacentor andersoni
Lineage: Eukaryota; Metazoa; Arthropoda; Arachnida; Ixodida; Ixodidae
Description: partial 16S ribosomal RNA
Source: RNAcentral